AUGUUCGCCCAGCACCGGCGUCACGUGAAGUCUGAAGUCACUCUUAUCCAGUUACAUUUGACAGAUGAGAAAAUUAAAGCUCAGAAAGGGUACUCAGGAGGCUGAGGCAGGAGAAUCGCUUGAACCCGGGAAGCAGAAGUUGCAGUGAGCCGAGAUCUUGCCAUUGCAUUCCAGCCUGGACAACAGGGUGAAACUCUGUGUCAAAAAAAAAAAAAAAAAAAGAAGUUAUGAUUGAGACUCAGGUCUGUCUGACUCCAGCUGUUAACCACUAUGUUCUAAGCUCUACUAUGGUCAAGAGAUAUCCUUUGAGCACAUUUUUCAAGGUAAUAUGAUAAACACCAUGGGGAAGAGAAAUCUUAAUCAGACAUAGUAUAUAUCCUUGACAAAUUCACAGUGUACUGGGAAAGUACUAAUCUCCUAUAAUGCAUGGUGGAAAGUGAUAAGAAAACAAUGAAUUCAGGGAUGGAGAAUUCACCUUUCAGAAGGCUGCCUGGAGGAUGUGGCAGUUGAAGUAGGCUGUGAAAAAGGGGUAAGAUGGGGCUAUACUGCACCAAAAGAAUAAGAAUAGAGAGGAAAGAGGCGAGUGUUCCAGGUGAGAGGCAGGCCAGCAACAAAAAUGAAGAGGUGGCAAACACAAGGCAGUUUUUGGAAAAGUUAAAUGGCCAGUUUGAUGGGACAGAAAGAGUAUGUGUGGAAGUAGAGAAAAUGCUGAAAAAAAUACAAUGCAGAUUUAAAUAGUAUGAGUAAUAAUUAUAGCUCAUAUUUGCCAGGCACCUAAAAUGUGCCAGGCACUGUCCUUGGGGCUUUAAACUUAUUAUCUCACUGAAAAAUUUCUAACUAGACUGUGAGAUUGAUAUUAUCCCCACCCUCAUUUUACAGAUAGAUCUACCUGUAAAAUCAGUUAUCAAUUUAUCUGUAAAAUGGGGGUGGGAAUAACACCACUCUUGCAGUCUAGUUAUUUAGAGAAGUAACUUGUCUAGGGCCUUAUGAAGAUACUGGUGAAACUGAAACUCAAACACAAAUUUAUCUAAUGCUAAAAUUCUUAUUCAUGAAACCAUAUGGUCACCCAGUAAACAUUACUGUUGAUGCCAAAUAAACUCUGCUUUAGAGCCACA
Molecule: long non-coding RNA, 1115 nt
Organism: Pan troglodytes (chimpanzee)
Lineage: Eukaryota; Metazoa; Chordata; Mammalia; Primates; Hominidae
Exons: 2
Source: RefSeq, a predicted model, not a curated record